GUGCUCGCUUUGGCAGCGCAUAGACUAAAAUUGGAACGAUCCAUAGCAGAUGAAGCACGGCCCCUGCAUGCACAAGGAUGGCACGCAGAUUCGUGAAGAGAAGAGUUUAAUA
Leopardus geoffroyi (Geoffroy's cat) is the source of this 112-nucleotide small nuclear RNA. The record is from RefSeq and is a predicted model, not a curated record. Lineage: Eukaryota; Metazoa; Chordata; Mammalia; Carnivora; Felidae.